RNAcentral lists this ribosomal RNA (448 nucleotides) under uncultured bacterium. Its description in RNAcentral is "bacterial SSU rRNA". It matches the Rfam family "Bacterial small subunit ribosomal RNA", at positions 28 to 523 of the family's 1533-position model. The record is from RNAcentral.
GAUGAACGCUGGCGGUCUGCUUAACACAUGCAAGUCGAACGAACUCUUCGGAGUGAGUGGCGGACGGGUGAGUAACGCGUGAGAAUCUGCCUGUGGGUCGGGGACAACCACUGGAAACGGUGGCUAAUACCGGAUGAGCCGAAAGGUAAAAGAUUUAUUGCCCACAGAUGAGCUCGCGUCUGAUUAGCUAGUUGGUAAGGUAAAAGCGUACCAAGGCGACGAUCAGUAGCUGGUCUGAGAGGAUGAGCAGCCACACUGGGACUGAGACACGGCCCAGACUCCUACGGGAGGCAGCAGUGGGAAUUUUCCGCAAUGGGCGAAAGCCUGACGGAGCAAUACCGCGUGCGGGAGGACGCUUUUUGGAGUGUAAACCGCUUUUCUCAAGGAAGAUGAUGACGGUACUUGAGGAAUCAGCAUCGGCUAACUUCGUGCCAGCCAGCCGCGGUAA